Molecule: unclassified non-coding RNA, 685 nt
Filed under: Hevea brasiliensis (rubber tree)
Lineage: Eukaryota; Viridiplantae; Streptophyta; Magnoliopsida; Malpighiales; Euphorbiaceae
Source: RNAcentral
AACAUAGAGAUAAUAGUAUUGUUAUUCAUCUCUACCUGUAGAUUUCGAAUCCCCUUCUCUCAAGCUAAAUUGAGACCAAUGCACACCCUCCACAAGCCAUAGCUUUGCCAUAGUCAGCAGUUUAAUCAAUUAUACAAGUAGCACCAUCGAGCCAGCCUCCCUUUUGAGGGUCUUCCUCUUCCCUCUACGUAGGGGAGGGCCCUCCCUUCUUCUCUCUCCUUUGCCUAGUGAGUAGGCAGUCCUUCCCCACCCACUCCUUAUGGGUAGUAGCUGCAGAUCUGAGCUUAUCGGAGAAGGACCAUUAGAGAUAUGUGGUGUUGGGUGUCUUUGGAGGUAGGCCAAGAACGGAGUAAAGAGAAGGCCUGUGUUGAUUUAGAGAACAACAUCUGACAAGGGUUAAUCUUGUUGAAGGAGGUAGGACCUGGUGUCAUCCAGCGCCUUUAUUGAAGUCUCGGCUCUGCUCUCCUCUCCUUACACUGGUGGCUUGGACUGGAGUUUGGACUCAUCAGUUUCUUAGGCGGUAGAGAGUUGAUGACUUUGGCUGCUUCUUCUGGUUUGUUUCCAUGUUUUCUGGUUUUUGGUCCUCUUUACUCUAUUUUGAUUGUAUUUGUUUGUUUGAGUUUGGGCCAUCACCCACCUAUUGUAAUACUCCAAAAUUUAAUGAAAUUUAAUUCAAAUGACUCGA